UACGGGGGGGGCAAGCGUUGUUCGGAAUUACUGGGCGUAAAGGGCUCGUAGGCGGCCAACUAAGUCGGAUGUGAAAUCCCCAGGCUCAACCUGGGAACUGCAUCCGAUACUGGAUGGCUUGAAUUUGGGAGAGGGAUGCAGAAUUCCAGGUGUAGCGGUGAAAUGCGUAGAUAUCUGGAGGAACACCGGUGGCGAAGGCGGCAUCCUGGACCGGUAUUGACGCUGAUGCGCGAAAGCCAGGGGAGCAAACGGG
RNAcentral lists this ribosomal RNA (253 nucleotides) under uncultured bacterium. RNAcentral describes it as "partial 16S ribosomal RNA". It matches the Rfam family "Bacterial small subunit ribosomal RNA", at positions 524 to 776 of the family's 1533-position model. The record is from RNAcentral.